This is a non-coding RNA of Labrenzia sp. VG12, 100 nucleotides long. Lineage: Bacteria; Pseudomonadati; Pseudomonadota; Alphaproteobacteria; Hyphomicrobiales; Stappiaceae. The record is from Rfam.
AUUUCCGAUUCCAAGCUGCCCGACAUGCAGGCCGGCUGGGAGCAGGGCAUGACCAAUGCGCUCGCCGGGCUCGCGGGCCUCAACAUGUGUUACGAGGCCG